RNAcentral lists this ribosomal RNA (253 nucleotides) under uncultured Bacteroides sp. Its description in RNAcentral is "partial 16S ribosomal RNA". It matches the Rfam family "Bacterial small subunit ribosomal RNA", at positions 524 to 776 of the family's 1533-position model. Lineage: Bacteria; Pseudomonadati; Bacteroidota; Bacteroidia; Bacteroidales; Bacteroidaceae. The record is from RNAcentral.
UACGGAGGAUUCAAGCGUUAUCCGGAUUUAUUGGGUUUAAAGGGAGCGUAGGCGGGUUGUUAAGUCAGUUGUGAAAGUUUGCGGCUCAACCGUAAAAUUGCAGUUGAUACUGGCAUCCUUGAGUACAGUAGAGGUAGGCGGAAUUCGUGGUGUAGCGGUGAAAUGCUUAGAUAUCACGAAGAACUCCGAUUGCGAAGGCAGCUCACUAGACUGCAACUGACACUGAUGCUCGAAAGUGUGGGUAUCAAACAGG